UCCAGACUCCUACGGGAGGCAGCAGUCGGGAAUAUUGCGCAAUGGAGGAAACUCUGACGCAGUGACGCCGCGUAUAGGAAGAAGGUUUUCGGAUUGUAAACUAUUGUCCACAGGGAAGAAAAAAGACUGUACCUGUGAAGAAAGCUCCGGCUAACUACGUGCCAGCAGCCGCGGUAAUACGUAGGGAGCGAGCGUUGUCCGGAUUUACUGGGUGUAAAGGGUGCGCAGGCGGCUCUGCAAGUCAGGCGUGAAAGCUAGGGGCUCAACCCCUAAAUUGCGCUUGAAACUGUGGAGCUUGAGUGAAGUAGAGGCAGGCGGAAUUCCCGGUGUAGCGGUGAAAUGCGUAGAGAUCGGGAGGAACACCAGUGGCGAAGGCGGCCUGCUGGGCUUUAACUGACGCUCAGGCACGAAAGCAUGGGUAGCAAAUGGGAUUAGAUACCCGAGUA
Molecule: ribosomal RNA, 446 nt
Filed under: uncultured bacterium
Lineage: Bacteria
Description: partial 16S ribosomal RNA
Rfam family: Bacterial small subunit ribosomal RNA
Source: RNAcentral